GACGAACGCUGGCGGCGUGCUUAACACAUGCAAGUCGAACGGUAAGGCCCUUCGGGGUACACGAGUGGCGAACGGGUGAGUAACACGUGGGUGAUCUGCCCUGCACUUCGGGAUAAGCCUGGGAAACUGGGUCUAAUACCGGAUAGGACCACUGCCUGCAUGGGUGGUGGUGGAAAGCUUUUGCGGUGUGGGAUGGGCCCGUGGCCUAUCAGCUUGUGGGUGGGGUGAUGGCCUACCAAGGCGACGACGGGUAGCCGGCCUGAGAGGGUGACCGGCAACACUGGGACUGAGAUACGGCCCAGACUCCUACGGGAGGCAGCAGUGGGGAAUAUUGCACAAUGGGCGCAAGCCUGAUGCAGCGACGCCGCGUGAGGGAUGACGGCCUUCGGGUUGUAAACCUCUUUCAGCACCGACGAAGCGCAAGUGACGGUAGGUGCAGAAGAAGGACCGGCCAACUACGUGCCAGCCGCCGCCGUAA
Molecule: ribosomal RNA, 478 nt
Filed under: uncultured bacterium
Lineage: Bacteria
Description: partial 16S ribosomal RNA
Rfam family: Bacterial small subunit ribosomal RNA
Source: RNAcentral